Molecule: non-coding RNA, 45 nt
Filed under: Echinostoma caproni
Lineage: Eukaryota; Metazoa; Platyhelminthes; Trematoda; Plagiorchiida; Echinostomatidae
Source: RNAcentral
GCACUACUGACGAGUCUCAAACAGGACGAAACAGCUGUCCAGUGC